RNAcentral lists this ribosomal RNA (563 nucleotides) under Rhodotorula kratochvilovae. RNAcentral describes it as "partial large subunit ribosomal RNA". It matches the Rfam family "Eukaryotic large subunit ribosomal RNA", at positions 72 to 648 of the family's 3401-position model. Lineage: Eukaryota; Fungi; Basidiomycota; Microbotryomycetes; Sporidiobolales; Sporidiobolaceae. The record is from RNAcentral.
GGAUUCCCUAGUAGCGGCGAGCGAAGCGGGAAGAGCUCAAAUUUAUAAUCUGGCACCUUCGGUGUCCGAGUUGUAAUCUCUAGAAGUGUUUUCCGCGUUGGACCGCACACAAGUCUGUUGGAAUACAGCGGCACAGUGGUGAUACCCCCGUACACGGUGCGGACGCCCAGCGCUUUGUGAUACACUUUCAAUGAGUCGAGUUGUUUGGGAAUGCAGCUCAAAUUGGGUGGUAAAUUCCAUCUAAAGCUAAAUAUUGGCGAGAGACCGAUAGCGAACAAGUACCGUGAGGGAAAGAUGAAAAGCACUUUGGAAAGAGAGUUAACAGUACGUGAAAUUGUUGGAAGGGAAACGCUUGAAGUCAGACUUGCUUGCCGGAGCUUGCUUCGGUUUGCAGGCCAGCAUCAGUUUUCCGGGGUGGAUAAUGGUGGUUUGAAGGUAGCAGCCUCGGCUGUGUUAUAGCUUUCCACUGGAUACAUCCUGGGGGACUGAGGAACGCAGCGUGCUUUUUGCGAAGGUUUCGACCUUUUCACGCUUAGGAUGCUGGUGUAAUGACUUUAAACGAC